This 474-nucleotide ribosomal RNA is filed under the name uncultured Pelotomaculum sp. Its description in RNAcentral is "bacterial SSU rRNA". It matches the Rfam family "Bacterial small subunit ribosomal RNA", at positions 916 to 1381 of the family's 1533-position model. The record is from RNAcentral. Lineage: Bacteria; Bacillati; Bacillota; Clostridia; Eubacteriales; Desulfotomaculaceae.
UUGGACGGGGCCCGCACAAGCGGUGGAGCAUGUGGUUUAAUUCGACGCAACGCGAAGAACCUUACCAGGGCUUGACAUCCCCUGACCGCGUAUGAAAGUACGUUUUCACCCUCGGGUGACAGGGAGACAGGUGGUGCAUGGUUGUCGUCAGCUCGUGUCGUGAGAUGUUGGGUUAAGUCCCGCAACGAGCGCAACCCCUACGUUUAGUUGCUAACGCGUGAAGGCGAGCACUCUAGACGAACUGCCGUUGACAAAACGGAGGAAGGUGGGAUGACGUCAAAUCAUCAUGCCCCUUAUGUUCUGGGCUACACACGUGCUACAAUGGCCGGUACAGACGGACGCAAAGCCGCGAGGUGGAGCAAAUCCUAAAAAGCCGGUCUCAGUUCGGAUUGCAGGCUGCAAUUCGCCUGCAUGAAGUCGGAAUCGCUAGUAAUCGCAGGUCAGCAUACUGCGGUGAAUACGUUCCCGGGCCUU